RNAcentral lists this ribosomal RNA (465 nucleotides) under uncultured bacterium. RNAcentral describes it as "partial 16S ribosomal RNA". It matches the Rfam family "Bacterial small subunit ribosomal RNA", at positions 338 to 795 of the family's 1533-position model. The record is from RNAcentral.
UCUACGGGAGGCAGCAGUGGGGAAUAUUGCGCAAUGGGCGAAAGCCUGACGCAGCGACGCCGCGUGAGGGAUGAAGGUCUUCGGAUCGUAAACCUCUGUCAGCAGGGAAGAACGGUCACUGUGCUAAUCAGCAGUGAAUUGACGGUACCUGCAAAGGAAGCACCGGCUAACUCCGUGCCAGCAGCCGCGGUAAUACGGAGGGUGCGAGCGUUAAUCGGAAUUACUGGGCGUAAAGCGCUCGUAGGCGGUAUGUCAAGUCAAGGGUGAAAUCCCCGCGCUCAACGUGGGAACUGACUUUGAAACUGGCAAACUGGAGUGUGUGAGAGGAUAGUUGAAUUCCAGGUGUAGGAGUGAAAUCCGUAGAUAUCUGGAGGAACAUCAGUGGCGAAGGCGACUAUCUGGCACAUAACUGACGCUGAGGAGCGAAAGCGUGGGUAGCAAACAGGAUUAGAUACCCCAGUAGUC